RNAcentral lists this ribosomal RNA (595 nucleotides) under uncultured Bacteroidota bacterium. RNAcentral's name for it is "bacterial SSU rRNA". It matches the Rfam family "Bacterial small subunit ribosomal RNA", at positions 122 to 715 of the family's 1533-position model. The record is from RNAcentral. Lineage: Bacteria; Pseudomonadati; Bacteroidota.
CAACCUGCCCACCACUUGGGGAUAACCUUGCGAAAGUAAGACUAAUACCCAAUGAUAUCUCUAGAAGACAUCUGAAAGAGAUAAAAGAUUUAUCGGUGAUGGAUGGGGAUGCGUCUGAUUAGCUUGUUGGCGGGGUAACGGCCCACCAAGGCAACGAUCAGUAGGGGUUCUGAGAGGAAGGUCCCCCACAUUGGAACUGAGACACGGUCCAAACUCCUACGGGAGGCAGCAGUGAGGAAUAUUGGUCAAUGGACGAGAGUCUGAACUAGCCAAGUAGCGUGCAGGAAGACGGCCCUAUGGGUUGUAAACUGCUUUUAUAAGGGAAUAAAGUGAGUCUCGUGAGACUUUUUGCAUGUACCUUAUGAAUAAGGACCGGCUAAUUCCGUGCCAGCAGCCGCGGUAAUACGGAAGGUCCGGGCGUUAUCCGGAUUUAUUGGGUUUAAAGGGAGCGUAGGCCGGAGAUUAAGCGUGUUGUGAAAUGUAGAUGCUCAGCAUCUGAACUGCAGCGCGAACUGGUUUCCUUGAGUACGCACAAAGUGGGCGGAAUUCGUGGUGUAGCGGUGAAAUGCUUAGAUAUCACGAAGAACUCCGAUUG